Non-coding RNA from Hippopotamus amphibius kiboko, 74 nucleotides. NCBI's taxonomy places the organism in Eukaryota, Metazoa, Chordata, Mammalia, Artiodactyla, Hippopotamidae. The record is from the annotation of a RefSeq genome assembly.
UCCCUGGUGGUCCAGUGGUGAAGACUUCUUGCUCCCAAUGCAGAAGGGACCAGGUUCAAACCCUGGUCAGGGAA